GUUUCCUGCCACUACAGUAGGACCUGACCAUACCGAAUACUGUGCAUCAAACUAAUGGUUCAACAUUGUGGGAAAUAGGCUUUUGAGAGAAUGACAUGGGGUAUUUUUUUUAUCUUGUCAAAAGUAUCACUUUUUACAAUCUCAUUCAAUUCAGUUCAAUUCAAUUUUAUUUGUAUAGCGCCAAUUCAUAACAGAAGUUAUCUCAGGACACUUUUCAAAUAGAGCAGGUGUAGACCGAACUCAUUCAUCAUCCAACAUUCGUACCUCAUAAACAAAAACCAAAAGAUUCCAAAAUACAUAAAUCCAGAAAACAUUAAAGAACUCAGAAAAGCCUGAACAUAAAAAAUAUAUUCUCAAUUUUUUCCCUGUAACAAAACAUAAAUGAAUCCAAAUAAUUAAUCAGUGCUUAAGAUAACCCAAUAUAACAACCUUUAUCACAAAAACCCCCAAAUAUAAAAUGUAGAGAAUCCAUACACUUACAUCAACAUAAGAGUCUUACAUAUACAUUAUUUAAAAAUAUACAACAUUAAAACAUUAAGACAAUGUUCAUAUGUUAAAUUCUGAACUGAGUUGUUCCGAUCGAUAUGAAUCUAAUGUCUGUGUAUCCAUGACAGAUGCAGGGGAAAACAGCUAGUCUAGCUCUUGUCUAACGUCCAAAAUACUUCCACCCGCAUGUCUAAAUGUCAUUAAUUAACACGAUGUACAUGUUUGCUGACUGUAACUGCACAUGAACAGAAAUGUAACAAUAACAGUUAGUUUAAGUGUGAUAUUUCUCACCCAAAAUUUCCAUCUAUGUCCGAAAGACAAAGUUUGGCAUUUGUUGACUUAUUUCUUUUAAAUGUGGGUUUUGAUACUUGUUUUCAGGAAAUAGGAAGAUGCUAUGGGUACAAUGACAAAUCACCCAAAUUUGUUUAAAGGGGGCAUAUUAUGCAAAACCAACUUUUUAAUCAUUUGAUUAUGUACAUUUGGGAAUCUGGAGGGCCUAUCAGCAGGCAAAGUGUGAAAAAAUAGGACUCAGUCGUGUUUUUGUGGGCUGCCUCAAGUCCUAAUACACGAGAUAAAUCACUCAAUUUCAGAGGUCCAGACUUUUUGACGUCAUUUAGUCUGCAUGUUGCCACCCACCGCGGUUUACUUCCUGUGUUGACUAUCGGAGCUCCGCCAUUGUUACUAUAAAAGCGCAAGCUAGCAGAGAACAAGCAAACGAGCCCAGCCUGCAGCCUGCAGCCCAAUGUCUGGGCAAAGGCUUCAGCAGGCAAACUGUUCAGUCAUUGGCUGCACAGCCCAACACUAAUUUAUAUAUGUAUGAACACAGUGGAUUUAUUUUGGUUUUUGACGGCAAUAUCCGGCGGGAAAACCGGAAGGUGUGUGAACCACUUUGUGUCGGACUGUUUUCACAACCUCGGUCAGUACAACACUGGACUGGCUGAAAGACUGUUCCUGAAAGAGGGAUUGUACCAACUGUCUGUGGAGAGACGGCAGAGGAAGUCACUGUGGAUUGUACCAACUGUCUGUGGAGAGACGGCAGAGGAAGUCACUGUGAGCUGAUGAAGCUCAGGUGUUCCUGGACCCAUCAGAGGACAGAGACAGCUGCAGCAUCAGGACAGCCUGAAGGACGCGAUCUGCAAAGUUUACAUAGAAGUUCUAGCUUUGUUACUUACAACAUGUGUAACUGGAAUAUGAAUGAAACAUAAAUAAAGUGUUUUAUUUUUAAGAA
Dicentrarchus labrax (European seabass) is the source of this 1714-nucleotide long non-coding RNA. RefSeq lists it as uncharacterized. The record is from RefSeq and is a predicted model, not a curated record. Lineage: Eukaryota; Metazoa; Chordata; Actinopteri; Moronidae. The transcript is spliced from 2 exons.